RNA transcript from Bombus terrestris (buff-tailed bumblebee), 2268 nucleotides. It is a transcript of the gene named androgen-induced gene 1 protein, with no coding region annotated. The transcript has 6 exons. The record is from RefSeq and is a predicted model, not a curated record. NCBI's taxonomy places the organism in Eukaryota, Metazoa, Arthropoda, Insecta, Hymenoptera, Apidae.
CUCAACGAAUCGUGGAGCACAGUUAACUGUUAGUCCGUGACUGACUUUCCGUCGAAAUUGAUGUGCUUCGUGAAUUCACAAGACUGGCCGGUGAUUCAGUUGGUUGUAUCGUAUCUCACUGAUUUUAGGAAAAUGUACACAAUAAAUCAGCUACACCAUAUUUCAUCUUGUCUGAUGUACACGUUUACGACAUACAGGGGGUUUUUGAUUACGAUACCUCUGCUUAAAUCCCCACUUGGUAACUUCGAUCCAGGACAACUUAAGUUCUUGACUGUAUGGAACCUGAUCAUUCAAGCGAUAUUUUUCUUCAUAUGUAUUCUGAAUGAUUGGUUCGGCACAAAUGCAGUUAGUCCUAAAAAGCCACCAUUCAUACGUAAAUUAAAGGAUCAUGUACAUGCGAUACUCGGUUUUCCGAUCGCCAUGUUCGUUGGAAUAAUAUUCUGGACUUUAAUGUUUGUGGAUCGCGAAUUGGUGCUUCCAAAGGCACUGGAUCCUUACUUUCCAUGGUGGCUCAAUCAUUUGAUGCACACAAUGAUCAUGGUUUCCACGCUAAUAGAAAUGAUAAUAGCCCCGAGAAAAUAUCCAAGGAAAUCAUUUGGCCUUUUAUGUUUAUUAUCCUUCAUGUUUAUAUAUUUAAUUUGGGUGCAUAUAAUUUUCUAUAAGAGCGGUAUCUGGGUGUACCCAAUACUAGAUGUGUUGCCGCUGCCGUUACGAAUUGUAUUCUUCAUUGUAAUGCUUUUAAUCGCCGUAUUCUUGUAUUUGAUCGGCGAAGCAGUGGACAACUUCCUUUGGGGUAACGAAUAUACUAAAAAUAAAAAAUCUUAUGCCAAGAGCAAAUAGCCUCGCCCAUGGUGAUUAGCCGCGCUGACUUUGGUCAUACAUUAGCCUCCUCUAAGGUGGUGGUAAAUAAAAAUUAAAAACCAAUUUUCUAUCUCCUCCACCUAUCCUCUUCCUCCUCCUAUCAUCCCCCAGCUCCAUUCAUCCUACAUUACGGCAUGCACGCGUAUCCAAUGGAUAAAUUUUCUUUCGGAAACUCUUAAACAAAAACAUAGUAAUAUGUGCAUGCAAGGACGGAACGCGUUAAUUUUUACCCAAAAGCAGAAAGCACAAGGAGAACGCGGUCGUUAACAACUUGUUCACUUGAAGAGGGUUGCGUAGCUGGAGCAUGUAGAUGUGACUUUUUUCUCUCGUGUGGUUUGUGUCAUAUGCAACAAAGAAAAGGGAAGACUAAUUGUAAUAACUAAGUACACUGCACACACUCUGAUGCCUGAUAUUCAUGGUGAUGUAAAUUAAAAAAUGCAAACAAAUGGAAAGUAAAAAAAAAAGAAAAACACGGACAACACACAUACGUACACACGAUGCAACAGCUAGUACAUUUUUAUACGUUCGAUAUUUGUUACUCUGACAACAAAGAAAUGAAAUAAAAUUUAGAAAGAAAGGAAGAAAAUGCGUCAUAGAGAAAUGGUGAACUGUGAACACGUGUGUGGAAUGAAUGCAUUGUUCCGCGUUUUGAAGGAAAAAAGUACGUAGCAGAAUGUAUCGGACCGGAUUUGAAAGCAUAAUGAAGUGAGGCGAAUCGAGCAAGAGGAAUAUGCUUUUGCUGGACUGAUCGAGCAAAGAAAUCAUUAGCACGUGUACUCGUGUUCACCAAGAUUUGAUGCCAUCGAUGAUUCUCGUGUCGAAAACGUAUCGAGUGAAGAUGAGAAAUGCCGUUUUUGCAUUUAUAACAGAUUAGACUAACUUUAGAGAUCUAGUUUAGCAUUUCGUCAUUUAUAUAGUGUACAAAGAAAUAUGACAUAGUCGAUCAGAAGUACAGAGUUUGUUAACGGAUUUUAGUUAUACCUUUAAGUAAUAAGAACGUUAAAAAAGAAAAGAAAAAAAAAAUGUAUAAUUUUGAAAGAUCUUCAUGAGUUUUCAAUAUUUAUUACUACAAUAAAAUCAAAACAUCACGUUAGCGUGAUUGGCUUUAUCUGUAAGUAAAUUGAACUCGCAUACUGGGAAGCUGUUAAACUAUAUACGGAAAAUAUCAAUUAUCGAUAACGGGUUGACCUUAUCUAUAGUUACGUUCCAUAAAUAUAUUAGUAAAUUUCAGAAUACAUUUUCACAAAGAUACAAUGUGUUGUGCAAAUAUUCAACUGAGACAUUUUUGUUUAUAGAACUAGAUAUUUUCCAUUUAUUUUAUAAAAAAUUUUGAUAAUAAUUAGUUAUUGUAACAAUUUAUACAAAAUGGAGGCAAAAAUUAUUGAAUAAAUAAUGUAUUGCUAAAUA